This is a long non-coding RNA of Triticum aestivum (bread wheat), 1950 nucleotides long. RefSeq lists it as uncharacterized. The transcript has 4 exons. The record is from RefSeq and is a predicted model, not a curated record. Lineage: Eukaryota; Viridiplantae; Streptophyta; Magnoliopsida; Poales; Poaceae.
UUCACCACGCUCGGUCUCCACCUGCCCCAAUCUCCACUUCUCCAGGCCGUCAUCCCCAACCGACCAGAUGAUCGGGCCCGACGGGGUCGACUUCGUCGCCGGCGACGGCGCCCUGGCGUUCGGCUCCGGCGUCAAGGACCUUAACAUGGUAGGGUCGUUCGAGCUGGUCCUCCUCCCGCUCCUCACGCUGCUCUUCCCCUUCCCCGCCCCCGCAAGUGCUGCCUCGCUGUCCCCGUUCGCGGCCACCUCCAACGCCUCCUCCCACGCCUACGCCCGCCCCGUAUCCCACCUUCUUCGACGAUGUCGUCGGCGCCGUCGCCGACAAGUACGGCUGGGACCCCGACGCCGAGGUCCAAGUCUGGCCACUCGACGCCGAGGGUGCGCUCGUUGGCGCCGUGCAGUGCUACGUGUUCCGCGCCCACGCGAGGGGCGUCGCGGUCGCACUGGCGCGGGCCUCUGAUGGGGCCGUCGAUUGGAGCCGCUCUGACGCCCCCACGGUGGAGGAGGUGGUCGGGCCCGACGGGGUCCACUUCGUCGCCGGCGAUGACGCCCUGGCGUUCGGCUCCGGCGUCACGGACCUGAACAUGGCAGGGCCGUUCGAGCUGGUGGUCUCCGAUGGCGCUGGCGAGGGCCUCGCAGAGCUCCAGUUGCUGUCGACAUGCGAUGGAUUUGGGCGGGGCAGUGGGUUUGCUCGCGAGGAGGUGGGAAGGACGAAGAUAGUGGAAGAACCUUGAGAUGAUGAUGUUGUCGGUCGGGUGUCCUCUGCUACUGAAGUUUUACCACCAUCUGGUGGUGCUUGAGAGCAGAGACGGCAUACUUUCAUCAGCAGUGGCCAAACCCCCAGCGCCGCUGGUGCUGUACACCCCUGUACCCCUCGACAUCCAGUGCCUCGCGUCUGCCCAACAUGAACAGCUCCUCAAUAUGUACAUCUCUGAAUUUUGUCAUUGCUAGAGAAAGUAGAGCAUUGUUUUACUGUAGCUAUAAUUUGAGUUUAGAAGAUAUACUCCUCUCUUUUUGACGUCAAUUUUUUCAGUUGACUUCUCCGUCCAGUCUCAUGUCUUUCUCUUUAGCAGGGAUCAGUGAGUACUAAACGAGUAAAAAUGUCCUUCUCUUUUUCAUUUUUCUUCCUUUUCCUUACUACUUUUGUGGCUCCAAAUCUCAUGAUUGCUCUAUGUCUGUUCUUUUUGUUGACAUGGAAUUUACCCUGAAAAUUUUCUUCUGAUCUACAAUAUUCUGCCAUCUAAAUUUGUCUGUAUAUUGUGAAUGAGUAGACACUGGUGUAGAAACUCAAUCGGAUGAAAUUACGGACUACAGAGAUGUGUAAUUAUUAAUUAAUUUCUUGCUUUAAAAGAUAUGCAACUAGCAGAGUUUCUUAUUUUUAUCAAUUGGAUUAUGACUGAAGUGAAGAACUUAUGUGGACAGUCUGGCAGAUUUCAGUGGCAAGAUUUUUGUACAAUUACAGUAGCAGAUUUCGGAAAUUUGUAGAGCACAUGAUUUACAAGAACAAGAUAUUCUGUCAAGCCAUGGAUAUCAACAAUCAGUCAAGCAAAGAAAUAUUCAUGGGAGAUAUACAGGAAUCCACAAGAAUGUGCACCGUAUGGUACUACCCUUUUGUCAUCGAGCCACUAUCACAUUUUGGUCAGCAAUCAGUUCAAGCAAUUCCAUUAGUCAGAAGUUGGAAUUUACAUCUAAACAAACAAUACAUCAAGCAACAGAAGAAAAAGUGGUCGUCUCUUUUUCUUGGCACCAAGAUGCCAUACAAGCAUUCACACUUCGGAAUCGCACAAGCAGUUUGUAUAUAAAUGGUGUGCCAUAUCGUUUUAACAUGGACACUUCAAAAGAAUAUAUGCCAAGAGUGGUCGCUGAUCACUAUGAUUAUAGUAGUCCUAAAGAGUUUGCCUCUGCGUUUCUGCUCACAUGUAGUUGAUGUUUUAGCCUUUUAGAAGUAUA